RNAcentral lists this ribosomal RNA (253 nucleotides) under uncultured bacterium. Its description in RNAcentral is "partial 16S ribosomal RNA". It matches the Rfam family "Bacterial small subunit ribosomal RNA", at positions 524 to 776 of the family's 1533-position model. The record is from RNAcentral.
UACGUAGGCAGCGAGCGUUGUUCGGAAUUACUGGGCGUAAAGCGUGCGCAGGCGGUGAUGUAAGACAGAUGUGAAAUCCCCAGGCUCAACCUGGGAACUGCAUUUGUGACUGCAUCGCUGGAGUGCGGCAGAGGGGGAUGGAAUUCCGCGUGUAGCAGUGAAAUGCGUAGAUAUGCGGAGGAACACCGAUGGCGAAGGCAAUCCCCUGGGCCUGCACUGACGCUCAUGCACGAAAGCGUGGGGAGCAAACAGG